This 335-nucleotide unclassified non-coding RNA is filed under the name soil metagenome. RNAcentral describes it as "partial contains 5.8S ribosomal RNA, internal transcribed spacer 2, and large subunit ribosomal RNA". The stretch from base 1 to 120 matches the Rfam family "5.8S ribosomal RNA", at positions 35 to 154 of the family's 154-position model. The record is from RNAcentral.
GAUGAAGAACGCAGCGAAAUGCGAUAAGUAAUGUGAAUUGCAGAAUUCAGUGAAUCAUCGAAUCUUUGAACGCACAUUGCGCCCGCCAGUAUUCUGGCGGGCAUGCCUGUUCGAGCGUCAUUUCAACCAUCAAGCCCCCGGCUUGUGUUGGGGACCUGCGGCUGCCGCAGGCCCUGAAAAGCAGUGGCGGGCUCGCUGUCACACCGAGCGUAGUAGAUUUCAUCUCGCUCAGGGCGUGCUGCGGGUUCCGGCCGUUAAACCACCUUCAUAACCCAAGGUUGACCUCGGAUCAGGUAGGAAGACCCGCUGAACUUAAGCAUAUCAAUAAGCGGGGA